GAGAGAGGUUGCCCUUAAAAUCUAGACCAAUCUAUAGCUUAGCUUAGAGUUCCAUUGACUUCCUUCUUUUAAUAACAAUAUAAUUUUUUUUCACUGCACUGCACUCAUCACAUUUCUUCUCCCUUUCUUCUAUACAUAAGUCAGAUUCCUUUGUAUUGAGAAAAGGAAACUCCCAAGCCAAUGUAGAAGGAAGAAUUCUGGUGAAGCAGGAAUACAUUUGGAUUUGAUUGGUGAGGAUUGGGUGUCUUUUUUUAGUGGCAGAUAUGUUUAAGAACCAGCUUCAAGAACUUGCGCAAAGAAGCUGUUUCAACCUCCCUUCUUAUACUUGCAUUAGAGAAGGACCUGAUCAUGCACCAAGAUUCAAAGCUUCUGUGAACUUCAAUGGUGAGAUCUUUGAAAGUCCAAGUUACUGCACCACAUUGAGACAGGCAGAGCAUGCAGCUGCUGAAGUAGCCUUCAAUGUUCUUUCUUCCAGGGGUCCUUCAAGGUCUUUAACUGCAAGGGUUCUUGACGAGACUGGAAUUUACAAAAACCUUCUUCAAGAAACUGCACAUAGAGCUGGGCUUAACCUCCCUGUAUAUACUACUGUAAGGUCAGGUCCUGGUCAUGUCCCAACUUUUACUUGUACUGUGGAGCUUGCUGGCAUGAAAUUCACAGGAGAGUCAGCAAAAACAAAGAAACAAGCAGAGAAGAAUGCUGCAAUAGCAGCUUGGUCUGCUUUGAAAAGAAUGCCUAACCUGGAAUUCUUGGCAAACAAAGAAUUAGAGAGUCGUGAGGAACAAGAUCAAGCAGUUCUGGCAAGGGUCCUCUCAAACUUUAGAUCCAAAGAUGAAUACAAACAAAGGAAGAGGGAUCAUGGCCAAGCAAGAAGAAGAAUGGUGAGGGGUUGCAGAGACAUUAAUAACUCUGCAUCAUCUUCCUCCUCCACCACCAAUAACUCUCUGCAGCUUCAACAUUGGAAGCUCUUGGAUCUGUUAUUGGAUUCUGCAUUAGACAGUUCAAUAGAAAAGCAAAGAUCCUUUGUGUCUCUCCUUCCUCCACCCCCACCUAGAACAACUUCAAAGAUUUUGCCACCAACCUCACCCGGAGAUGAUCCAGCUCUCUACCAAUCAAUCAGAGGCAUCCAUCAAACACAAGUUAAGGGCAAACAAGAAGUGAAAAUGCAAGAGAUUCCAGUUCCAGUGGAAGAGCAUCAAAAGGAUGAGGAAGAAUGGCUGGGUGCUAUCAAAAAACCCAUUGAAAAGGACAGUACAGGUUUUAUGUACAGGCCAUUUCCACGGUCCAAUCCUGGUAAACUUGGUGCAACCCAGCAGGAAUCAAGCCACAUUAGUACUAAAAGAAUGUUUGGGUCUCCAAUUGCAUCAACAUCCUCAAGAAUCCACAUAGCUAAUCCUCUCUACACAGGAGUGUCUCACGCUCACAGGAUUGCCCCGGCAGUUCAUAUUAGGUCAGUGAUUCCAGUUUGUGCAGCACCACCACCAGUAGUCAGACCUCAGUCAGCAUCAGUUUUUAGUACUGGUUCAUCACCAUCUACUAGUUCAAAGUCCAAGCAGACAGGAGGAGCACAAGCAGCAGAGCUAGCAGUGGUCAACAAGACACAGUCACAACCAACUCAACUCAGUUCUGCGUUUAACAAGAAGCUACAGUUAUGAAAGAAAAAGAAAAUUGAGACAAAUCUUAUUAUUUCUAGCCAGUUUUCACCUGAUGGGUUCUCACCUAAUUAGUGCUUUUCAUUUUUGGCCUCUCAAGAAAAAAAUCAUGGUUUUGUCUCAUGGCUUUCUGGUUAAAUUUUUUUGCACUACAACAUCCUUGCAUUAGAUGUUAUAAAUUUUACACCUUCCACCUUCACCUCUGCAUUUACUGCACCACACACACACACACACACACAC
Molecule: unclassified non-coding RNA, 1889 nt
Filed under: Hevea brasiliensis (rubber tree)
Lineage: Eukaryota; Viridiplantae; Streptophyta; Magnoliopsida; Malpighiales; Euphorbiaceae
Source: RNAcentral